RNAcentral lists this ribosomal RNA (731 nucleotides) under uncultured bacterium. RNAcentral's name for it is "bacterial SSU rRNA". It matches the Rfam family "Bacterial small subunit ribosomal RNA", at positions 73 to 790 of the family's 1533-position model. The record is from RNAcentral.
UAAAUGAAACUAGAUACAAGCGAGCGGCGGACGGGUGAGUAACACGUGGGUAACCUGCCCAAGAGACUGGGAUAACACCUGGAAACAGAUGCUAAUACCGGAUAACAACACUAGACGCAUGUCUAGAGUUUGAAAGAUGGUUCUGCUAUCACUCUUGGAUGGACCUGCGGUGCAUUAGCUAGUUGGUAAGGUAACGGCUUACCAAGGCAAUGAUGCAUAGCCGGGUUGAGAGACUGAUCGGCCACAUUGGGACUGAGACACGGCCCAAACUCCUACGGGAGGCAGCAGUAGGGAAUCUUCCACAAUGGACGAAAGUCUGAUGGAGCAACGCCGCGUGAGUGAAGAAGGGUUUCGGCUCGUAAAGCUCUGUUGGUAGUGAAGAAAGAUAGAGGUAGUAACUGGCCUUUAUUUGACGGUAAUUACUUAGAAAGUCACGGCUAACUACGUGCCAGCAGCCGCGGUAAUACGUAGGUGGCAAGCGUUGUCCGGAUUUAUUGGGCGUAAAGCGAGUGCAGGCGGUUCAAUAAGUCUGAUGUGAAAGCCUUCGGCUCAACCGGAGAAUUGCAUCAGAAACUGUUGAACUUGAGUGCAGAAGAGGAGAGUGGAACUCCAUGUGUAGCGGUGGAAUGCGUAGAUAUAUGGAAGAACACCAGUGGCGAAGGCGGCUCUCUGGUCUGCAACUGACGCUGAGGCUCGAAAGCAUGGGUAGCGAACAGGAUUAGAUACCCUGG